This 59-nucleotide microRNA precursor is filed under the name Colobus angolensis palliatus. Its description in RNAcentral is "miRNA (ENSCANG00000016911.1)". The record is from RNAcentral. Lineage: Eukaryota; Metazoa; Chordata; Mammalia; Primates; Cercopithecidae.
GUGCAAAAGUAAUAGUGGUUCUUGCCAUUGAAAGUAAUGGCAAAAACUGCAAUUACUUU